AUUACUUAGUUGCCAACCCAAUAGUUGUCGAGUUUGCGUCGAGGUCGUCUCGAGGUUACAGCUGAUCUUUGGCGAUCGAGUGAAAAAUAAUAAUAAUUGAAUAGCAAGAAAUGUGUUCAGAAAUGCGUCGAGGUCGUGUCGAGGUCGUCUCGAGGUUACAGGCGAUGUUCGGCGAUCGAAUGAAAUAAACAACUGUCGCGUUGGGAACGAUGGAAUGGCAAGAAAUAUCUUGAAAAAUUUGUUUCGAACAUUGUUAGGAAAUAUCUAGGGAAAAAUUAGCUCAGAAUUUUGUUGCAAAUAUCGUCGAUGUUGUUGCGAAAAUGAGAUCCGCCGUUCGGGGGACAAGCAGCGUUGAAUCGAAGGCGCGAGCAACUUCCAACGCGGCCGGUGGACCAUUAUCGAACCGAUCAUACUAAUGCGCAUAAAUAGCGAGUGUCUGGCUCAAUAGUUGAUUUCGCUUUGUCGCGACGCGCUCUCCGCGUCGAUCGAAGCUGCCGCGAUUAUUAUUGCACCGCCGAUCUUAUUUGACCCGCUAAGAAUCGAUCACGCGCGGCUGACGCGUUAAGUCCGGCCGAGAUUGCGACAAGUUUUCGAACCCGGCGAGAAAAUUACUUUUCCGUCGCUCGAAUGUAUACAGGGUGUCCUGUGCGAAGUAACGAGCUUCGAUGACCAAAGUGUUCGGGUCAAAAAUAACCUUGAAACGCGCUAUUCGCUUGCAUUGAAGAAAAUAUAGAGUUCCGUUGA
Non-coding RNA from Megalopta genalis, 744 nucleotides. NCBI's taxonomy places the organism in Eukaryota, Metazoa, Arthropoda, Insecta, Hymenoptera, Halictidae. The record is from RefSeq and is a predicted model, not a curated record.